RNAcentral lists this ribosomal RNA (466 nucleotides) under uncultured bacterium. RNAcentral describes it as "partial 16S ribosomal RNA". It matches the Rfam family "Bacterial small subunit ribosomal RNA", at positions 28 to 507 of the family's 1533-position model. The record is from RNAcentral.
GAUGAACGCUGGCGGCGUGCUUAACACAUGCAAGUCGAACGGAAAGGCUCCUGCUUGCAGGGGUACUCGAGUGGCGAACGGGUGAGUAACACGUGGGUGAUCUGCCCUGCACUUCGGGAUAAGCCUGGGAAACUGGGUCUAAUACCGGAUAGGACGAUGGUUUGGAUGCCAUUGUGGAAAGUUUUUUCGGUGUGGGAUGAGCUCGCGGCCUAUCAGCUUGUUGGUGGGGUAAUGGCCUACCAAGGCGUCGACGGGUAGCCGGCCUGAGAGGGUGUACGGCCACAUUGGGACUGAGAUACGGCCCAGACUCCUACGGGAGGCAGCAGUGGGGAAUAUUGCACAAUGGGCGCAAGCCUGAUGCAGCGACGCCGCGUGGGGGAUGACGGCCUUCGGGUUGUAAACUCCUUUCGCUAGGGACGAAGCGCAAGUGACGGUACCUGGAGAAGAAGCACCGGCUAACUACGUG